RNAcentral lists this non-coding RNA (110 nucleotides) under Halobacillus karajensis. RNAcentral describes it as "TPP sequence". It matches the Rfam family "TPP riboswitch aptamer (THI element)". From Rfam's summary of the family: Vitamin B(1) in its active form thiamin pyrophosphate (TPP) is an essential coenzyme that is synthesised by coupling of pyrimidine and thiazole moieties in bacteria. The previously detected thiamin-regulatory element, thi box was extended, resulting in a new, highly conserved RNA secondary structure, the THI element, which is widely distributed in eubacteria and also occurs in some archaea. The record is from Rfam by way of RNAcentral. Lineage: Bacteria; Bacillati; Bacillota; Bacilli; Caryophanales; Bacillaceae.
UGAAACUACUAGGGGGGCCUUAAUAGGCUGAGAGGAAAGCGAUUAAGCUUUCCGACUCUUACAAACCUGAUCUGGUUAAUACCAGCGGAGGGAAGUAGUCUGACGAUACA